This 2336-nucleotide long non-coding RNA is filed under the name Homo sapiens (human). RNAcentral's name for it is "non-protein coding lnc-RPL37-2:1". Lineage: Eukaryota; Metazoa; Chordata; Mammalia; Primates; Hominidae. The record is from RNAcentral.
AAAAAUUAGCUGGGCGUGGUGGCGGGUGCCUGUAGUCCCAGCUAUUCAGGAGUCUGAGGCAGGAGAAUGGCGUGAACCCAGGAGGCAGAGCUUGCAGUGAGCUGAGAUUGUGCCACUGCACUCCAGCUUGGGCGACAGAGCUAGACUCCGUCUCAGAAAAAAAAAAAAAAAAAAAAAAAAAAGACAAUCUAGUCUGGGCUCAGUCUAGGAGAGCGAAUCACUUGUCAGGAGUUCAAGACCAGCCAGGCCAACAUGGUGAAACCCUGUCUCUACUAAAAAUACAAAAAUCAGUCGGGUGUGGUAGCAUGUGCCUGUAAUAUCCCAGCUACUCCGGAGGCUGAGGGAGGAGAACAUCGUGAACCUGGGAGGCAGAGGUUGCAGUGAGCCGAGAUGGCCCACUGCACUCCAACCUGGGUGUCAGAGCAAGGUUCCAUCUCAAAAAAAAAAAAAAAAAAUGAAAGAAGGAAAAGGCAAGGCCAGGUGCGAUGGCUCACACCUGUAAUCCCAGCACUUUGGGAGGCCGAGGCAGGUGAAUCACGAGGUCAGGAGCUCAAGACUAGCUGUCCAACAUGGUGAAACUCCAUCUCUACUAAAAAUACAAAAAAUUAGCUGGGCAUAAUGGCAGGCGCCUGUAAUCCCAGCUGCUCUGGAGGCUGAGGCAGGAGAAUCGCUUAAACCUGGGAGGCGGAGGUUGCAAUUAGUCCCAGAGGUUGCAGUGAGCCGAGAUCAUGCCACUGCACUCCAGCCUGGGCGAUGGAGCGAGACUCUGUCUCAAAAAAAAAAAAAAGAAAGAAAAGAAAAGACAGUCUACAGUCUAGUUUAUGGAAUAACAGAAAUCUUUAGGGCCUUGCAAGGUUUUUGGUGAAUAAAGUUUUUUUAAACAUGAAAAAAAUAAAGAAAUCUUUAUGGCCCUGUCAACCUCAAUUAUAAGCAGAGAGGCUCUCUAACGGAAAAUGUUAAUCUGGGAAUACAGUGUGCAAUGGGAAUAGGCAUGCUUGGUAAACUAUGUAUUUGGGGAGGAAAAGGAAGACAAAGGUUUUUAAAGGAAAGAAUGAGGAGGAUUAUGUAAUUGUUUUGAGAUAAUUACCUUUGACUACAAAGAUCAAUAACAAGGGUGACAUCAGUCCAAGCUCAGAUAGACAGUUGCUGGGCAAAUGUCCUUGUAGUAGUAUCUUUUUGUAUAAGGUUUGAGAUGGUCUUUGUGCAAGGUUGUGUUUUUUGUAGUCUUUUUUGUUAUUAGGCAUAAUACAUGAGACUUCUCUCUCUCUCCUUCUCUCUCUCUCUUUUUGUAGACACAGGGUUUUGCCAUGUUGGCCAGGCUGCGUUUGAACUCCUGGCCUCAAGUGAUCCACCUGCCUUGGCCUCCCAAAGUGCUGAGAUUACGGCCUGAGCCACCGUGCCCGCCUGAGAACUCUCUCUCUCUCUCUUUUUUUUUUUUUUUUUUUGAGACAGAGUCUCACUCUGUCUCCCAGGCUGGAGUGCAGUGGCACGAUCUCAGCCUCACUGCAACUUCCGCCUCCCAGGUUCAAGGGAUUCUCCUGCCUCAGCCUCCUGAGUAGCUGGGAUUACAGGCACGUGUCACCACGUCCAGCUAUUUUUUGCAUUUUCAGUAGAGACGGGGUUUUACCAUGUUGGCCUGGCUGGUCUCGAACUCCUGACCUCAGGUGAUCCACCCACCUCGGCCUCCCAAAGUCCUGAGAAUACGGGCAUGAGCCACCGCGCCCCGCCAAGAAUUCUCUCUUUAUAGCUUUCCCUCACUCCCUUUAUCAGUGUUUUCUUAAUGUUAAUGACUCCAUUUUGAUUCUGAUAACUUUCACAGCCUUCAUGUGUGCUUUAGGGUAAGAAGCAGCCAUACCCAGAUCACAAUAGCAAUGUUCCUUUAUCAAAUGAGUGUAUAAGCUAAAAGCUUUUCAUCAUUGCAACAUCAUUCAAAAUUCGCUCUUCAAUUUAGGCAAUUGCUACCACUCCCCAUCAGUAAAAUAAUGUAUAGUCUAUAAUAAGUAGUAAAUUGUGAUCAAUGUUUGUUUUGAGAUACUAUCUGUUGACUUUACCUGGGCCUCUUUCUUUUCUUUUCUUUUUUUGAGACAAGAUCUCACUCUGUUACCCAGACUAGAGUGCAGUGGCACAAUCUGGGAUCCCUGCAUUUUCAACCUCCCUGGCUCAAGGGAUCCUCCUACCUCAGCCUCUCAAGCAGCUAGGACCACAGGCACGUGCCACCAUGCCCAGCUAAUCUUCUUUACUUUUUGUAGAGAUGGGGCCUCACUGUGUUGUCCAGGCUAGUCUCAAAUUCCUGGGCUCAAGUGAUCCUCCCACCUUGGCCUCCCAAAAUGCUGGGA